UGAGGACGCCUACCAUGCAAGUCGAACGGCAGCACAGAGAAGCUUGCUUCUUGGGUGGCGAGUGGCGGACGGGUGAGGAAUACAUCGGAAUCUACUCUUUCGUGGGGGAUAACGUAGGGAAACUUACGCUAAUACCGCAUACGACCUUCGGGUGAAAGCAGGGGACCUUCGGGCCUUGCGCGAUUGAAUGAGCCGAUGUCGGAUUAGCUAGUUGGCGGGGUAAAGGCCCACCAAGGCGACGAUCCGUAGCUGGUCUGAGAGGAUGAUCAGCCACACUGGAACUGAGACACGGUCCAGACUCCUACGGGAGGCAGCAGUGGGGAAUAUUGGACAAUGGGCGCAAGCCUGAUCCAGCCAUACCGCGUGGGUGAAGAAGGCCUUCGGGUUGUAAAGCCCUUUUGUUGGGAAAGAAAAGCACUUGGUUAAUACCCUUGUGUUCUGACGGUACCCAAAGAAUAAGCACCGGCUAACUUCGUGCCAGCAGCCGCGGUAAUACGAAGGGUGCAAGCGUUACUCGGAAUUACUGGGCGUAAAGCGUGCGUAGGUGGUUGUUUAAGUCUGCUGUGAAAGCCCUGGGCUCAACCUGGGAAUUGCAGUGGAUACUGGGCAACUAGAGUCAGGUAGAGGAUAGUGGAAUUUCCGGUGUAGCAGUGAAAUGCGUAGAGAUCGGAAGGAACAUCUGUGGCGAAGGCGACUAUCUGGGCCAUGACUGACACUGAGGCACGAAAGCGUGGGGAGCAAACAGGAUUAGAUACCCUGGUAGUCCACGCCCUAAACGAUGCGAACUGGAUGUUGGGUUCAAUUUGGGAACUCAGUAUCGAAGCUAACGCGUUAAGUUCGCCGCCUGGGGGAGUACGGGUCGCAAGACUGAAACUCAAAGGAAUUGGACGGGGGG
This 895-nucleotide ribosomal RNA is filed under the name Lysobacteraceae bacterium. RNAcentral's name for it is "bacterial SSU rRNA". It matches the Rfam family "Bacterial small subunit ribosomal RNA", at positions 43 to 920 of the family's 1533-position model. Lineage: Bacteria; Pseudomonadati; Pseudomonadota; Gammaproteobacteria; Lysobacterales; Lysobacteraceae. The record is from RNAcentral.